AGUGAACGCUGGCGGCAGGCCUAACACAUGCAAGUCGAACGGCAGCACAAGAGAGCUUGCUCUCUGGGUGGCGAGUGGCGGACGGGUGAGGAAUGCAUCGGAAUCUGCCCAUUUGUGGGGGAUAACCUCGGGAAACCGGGACUAAUACCGCAUACGACCUACGGGUGAAAGCAGGGGAUCUUCGGACCUUGCGCAGAUGGAUGAGCCGAUGCCGGAUUAGCUAGUUGGAGGGGUAAAGGCCCACCAAGGCGACGAUCCGUAGCUGGUCUGAGAGGAUGAUCAGCCACACUGGGACUGAGACACGGCCCAGACUCCUACGGGAGGCAGCAGUGGGGAAUAUUGGACAAUGGGCGCAAGCCUGAUCCAGCCAUGCCGCGUGUGUGAAGAAGGCCUUCGGGUUGUAAAGCACUUUUGUUGGGAAAGAAAAGCAGCCGGUUAAUACCCGGUUGUCAUGACGGUACACAAAGAAUAAGCACCGGCUAACUUCGUG
This 490-nucleotide ribosomal RNA is filed under the name uncultured bacterium. Its description in RNAcentral is "partial 16S ribosomal RNA". It matches the Rfam family "Bacterial small subunit ribosomal RNA", at positions 29 to 507 of the family's 1533-position model. The record is from RNAcentral.